AGCGGAGUAGAGCAGUCUGGUUAGCUCACAAGAACACCCCCAUAACCUUGAAGUCACGGGUUCAAAUCCCGUCUCCGCACCCCA
This 84-nucleotide transfer RNA is filed under the name Zantedeschia aethiopica (calla lily). RNAcentral describes it as "tRNA-fMet". It matches the Rfam family "tRNA". From Rfam's summary of the family: Transfer RNA (tRNA) molecules are approximately 80 nucleotides in length. The record is from RNAcentral. Lineage: Eukaryota; Viridiplantae; Streptophyta; Magnoliopsida; Alismatales; Araceae.